Molecule: long non-coding RNA, 1592 nt
Organism: Theobroma cacao (cacao)
Lineage: Eukaryota; Viridiplantae; Streptophyta; Magnoliopsida; Malvales; Malvaceae
Source: RefSeq, a predicted model, not a curated record
ACAGGUUAAUCCCGCUCCUGAAACUCGAAGCUUCUUCUUUUUUUCCAUCAAAACAAAUGACCGCCAGAAACAAAUAUACAAGAGAAAGAAAAAGGAAAGACAAGAGAUGGACAAAAUGAAGAACGAAGAGGUUCAAUCAACGGCCAAAAAGCAGAGAAUCGCAACUCACACCCACAUCAAAGGCCUUGGUCUCGAUAUGGAUAAAAAAUCUUUGCAUGCAGCAGUUAUGGGUGGAGCUGCUUCAGCAAUGGCUGUGGGAAUUAUUUUUAUUGAAAGAUAUAAAUCUAGGAACAAUGUACCUAUUGAGCCUAGUGUUAAUACAUUGAUAGUGUUUUGUGUAGAGGUGAUACCCAUUGUAUGAACCAAAAAAGGAUGAGACUAGUUGCAUUUUUUAUAUUAUGUCACAUUCUUAGUAGGAAUAAUUUACUACAAUCAGUUAGAUAUGUGUCUAUGAGAGAGCAAGAUUAUAUUUUUGCAUCUAAUUGGUCAUAAUGUAAGUUUGCUGGUAAUUGGAUUGAAAUAUUUUAGAUCAAUUGAGACAGUUCAUUGAUACUUUAGAACUGUCUUGAAAGCAAUAUUGAAAUUAUAUAAAGAUAUGAUUAGGUUACCAGAUGAUUCCACUCCACCUGAAAUAAGGAAUAAUCAGAGAUAUUAUCUAUACUUUAAGGAUUGUGUAGGAGCAUUAGAUGGUACUCAUAUUCGUGCUUCUGUGCCACUUGAGAUUCAAGAAAGAUUUCGUGAUCGAAAAGGGGAAAUGACAUGAAAUGUUUUGGCUGCAAUCGGUUUUGACUUGAGAUUUAACUAUGUGCUUGCUGCUUGGGAGGGAAGUGCACAUGAUUCUUAUAUUUUGACUGAUGCAUUUUUGAGGCCUUGAGGAUUUAGCACUUCGAAAGGGUAGAUAAUGACAUUUAAAAAAUUAAUAAUUGAUAUCUUUUGAUAACUAAUUUAUUUAGCUAUAAUUUUUGUGAAUUUGUAGGUAAAUAUUAUCUUGCUGAUGAUGGAUAUGGCAUAUGGAAUGGAAUUUUAAGUCCAUAUCGAGGUGUUCGAAAUCAUUUGGAGGAGUUUAGUGAUCAUCAUCUUGAGAAUGAGAAGGAGCUUUUUAAACUUCGUCAUUCUUCAUUGCGAACUAGUGUUGAACGAGUAUUUGGAAUUUUGAAGAAGUAUUUUCGUGUGUUAGAUUUUGAACCAUUUUGGAAUUAUGACACACAAGGAGAUAUAGUUUUAGCUUGUUGUAUCAUCCAUAACCACAUAAUGGGAGUUGAUCCUAAUGACUCAAUCAAGAAUUAGUAGAUAACACAGAGUUUGAAAGGAUGAGAGUUCCUCAAACAGCUUGUGAAGAGAGAGAAGAAACUAAAGAAUGGAUGACAAAAAGAGAUGAAACUGCACAUGCUAUGUGGAUUGAUUUUAAGAAUGGGGGAAUUUAAUUUGUGAAUUGACUAUAAGAUUAUGAGGAUGUAGUUUUUCUGUUUUUUUUCCUUACAUUGAUACGUUGUGAAGGUUUUUAUUAUGUAUGUUGUUUUCUACUUGCUGGAAGACGUUGUUAUGAACAUUUAAGUUGUUAUUAACAGUUGAUAUAGACAUUUGUUUUUUUG